This 229-nucleotide unclassified non-coding RNA is filed under the name Hevea brasiliensis (rubber tree). Lineage: Eukaryota; Viridiplantae; Streptophyta; Magnoliopsida; Malpighiales; Euphorbiaceae. The record is from RNAcentral.
GAAUUAUCAUUUUCUAGUCCACGUGAUGAAGACAUUACCCCUUUGUCAAUAUGACAUUCUUCACAACACCAAUCCAGUGGUGCUUCUUCACUAUAGCCCACCAAGCAAUAUUGAUGCACGUCAGCACUCCUACACUGAUAGCAGGUAAUAAUUGCUUCUUGAAAACCUAUAUCACCACAGAUUACACAAAUAUUUUUCUGAUUGUAUCUUCUGUAGGCAGGUCUUGGAA